AAGUCGUAACAAGGUUUCCGUAGGUGAACCUGCGGUUGGAUCAUUAACAAAAUGAUAAGAGUCCAGACCUAAACCCUCUGGGCUUUUAUAAACACCUGUGAACUGUAAUUGUAUCUGGUGGGCCUCAAAAACCCACCGUUAUGAACUUUUAUAUCUUGAAUUAGUUUUUAAAUUAAAUAAAUUUAUAACAACUUUUGACAACGGAUCUCUAGGCUCUC
Molecule: unclassified non-coding RNA, 218 nt
Filed under: fungal sp.
Lineage: Eukaryota; Fungi
Description: partial internal transcribed spacer region
Rfam family: Eukaryotic small subunit ribosomal RNA (bases 1-46)
Source: RNAcentral